This 253-nucleotide ribosomal RNA is filed under the name uncultured bacterium. RNAcentral describes it as "partial 16S ribosomal RNA". It matches the Rfam family "Bacterial small subunit ribosomal RNA", at positions 524 to 776 of the family's 1533-position model. The record is from RNAcentral.
UACGUAGGGCGCAAGCGUUAUCCGGAAUUAUUGGGCGUAAAGAGCUCGUAGGCGGUUUGUCGCGUCUGCCGUGAAAGUCCGGGGCUCAACUCCGGAUCUGCGGUGGGUACGGGCAGACUAGAGUGCAGUAGGGGAGACUGGAAUUCCUGGUGUAGCGGUGAAAUGCGCAGAUAUCAGGAGGAACACCGAUGGCGAAGGCAGGUCUCUGGGCCGAUACUGACGCUGAGGAGCGAAAGCAUGGGUAGCGAACAGG